GAGUUUGAUCUUGGCUCAGAUUGAACGCUGGCGGCAGGCCUAACACAUGCAAGUCGAGCGGUAGAGAGAAGCUUGCUUCUCUUGAGAGCGGCGGACGGGUGAGUAAUGCCUAGGAAUCUGCCUGGUAGUGGGGGAUAACGCUCGGAAACGGACGCUAAUACCGCAUACGUCCUACGGGAGAAAGCAGGGGACCUUCGGGCCUUGCGCUAUCAGAUGAGCCUAGGUCGGAUUAGCUAGUUGGUGAGGUAAUGGCUCACCAAGGCGACGAUCCGUAACUGGUCUGAGAGGAUGAUCAGUCACACUGGAACUGAGACACGGUCCAGACUCCUACGGGAGGCAGCAGUGGGGAAUAUUGGACAAUGGGCGAAAGCCUGAUCCAGCCAUGCCGCGUGUGUGAAGAAGGUCUUCGGAUUGUAAAGCACUUUAAGUUGGGAGAAGGGCAGUAAAUUAAUACUUUGCUGUUUUGACGUUACCGACAGAAUAAGCACCGGCUAACUCUGUGCCAGCCG
This 509-nucleotide ribosomal RNA is filed under the name uncultured bacterium. RNAcentral describes it as "bacterial SSU rRNA". It matches the Rfam family "Bacterial small subunit ribosomal RNA", at positions 9 to 514 of the family's 1533-position model. The record is from RNAcentral.